This 430-nucleotide ribosomal RNA is filed under the name uncultured archaeon. RNAcentral's name for it is "bacterial SSU rRNA". It matches the Rfam family "Archaeal small subunit ribosomal RNA", at positions 474 to 903 of the family's 1478-position model. The record is from RNAcentral.
UACCAGCUCUCCGAGUGGUAGGGAUGAUUAUUGGGCUUAAAGCGUCCGUAGCCGGCUUAGCAAGUCUCCUGUUAAACUCAGCGACCUAAUCGUUGAAUCGCGGGAGAUACUACUAGGCUAGGAGGCGGGAGAGGUCGACGGUACUUCUGGGGUAGGGGUGAAAUCCUAUAAUCCCGGGAGGACCACCAGUGGCGAAGGCUGUCGACUAGAACGCGCUCGACGGUGAGGGACGAAAGCUGGGGGUAGCGAACCGGAUUAGAUACCCGGGUAGUCCCAGCUGUAAACGAUGCGGGCUAGGUGUUGGGAUGGCUACGGGCCAUUUCAGUGCCGCAGGGAAGCCAUUAAGCCCGCCGCCUGGGGAGUACGGCCGCAAGGCUGAAACUUAAAGGAAUUGGCGGGGGAGCACCACAAGGCGUGAAGCUUGCGGUUC